RNAcentral lists this unclassified non-coding RNA (408 nucleotides) under Emilia coccinea. Its description in RNAcentral is "partial contains external transcribed spacer and 18S ribosomal RNA". The stretch from base 344 to 408 matches the Rfam family "Eukaryotic small subunit ribosomal RNA", at positions 1 to 65 of the family's 1831-position model. The record is from RNAcentral. Lineage: Eukaryota; Viridiplantae; Streptophyta; Magnoliopsida; Asterales; Asteraceae.
AGUUAUGCGUCAAAGAUUCUAUUUCCUUGAGCAUAUCAUGGGUUUCUUGUGUUGUAUUCCAAUAGGAAGGUAUCGGUUUUGGAUGAUAGAAGUCCUUUUUCAUCUUGUUUUGUGUUUUUAUUCAAGAUGAACUUAGAAGUUGUCUCGAUGUUCCAUUUUGUCAAUGUAAAUGCAUUGUUGAUGUGGUCUGUUGAGUGUUGCUUGGUAUUAUGGAUAUGGUACAUUAAAUAGGUGUUGGGUCUCUUAAGUCUCUAACAUCGUCCAUGUUAAGUGUUCUUUAAAACGACAGUCCAUGCGCGCCUAGGCUCGUACCUGCGUGAUGGGCUUUGUCAAGGAGGAAUGCUACCUGGUUGAUCCUGCCAGUAGUCAUAUGCUUGUCUCAAAGAUUAAGCCAUGCAUGUGUAAGUA